This 253-nucleotide ribosomal RNA is filed under the name uncultured bacterium. RNAcentral describes it as "partial 16S ribosomal RNA". It matches the Rfam family "Bacterial small subunit ribosomal RNA", at positions 524 to 776 of the family's 1533-position model. The record is from RNAcentral.
UACGUAGGGUGCGAGCGUUAAUCGGAAUUACUGGGCGUAAAGCGUGCGCAGGCGGUUUUGUAAGCCAGAUGUGAAAUCCCCGGGCUUAACCUGGGAAUGGCAUUUGGAACUGCAAGGCUAGAGUAUGGCAGAGGAGACUAGAAUUUCUGGUGUAGCAGUGAAAUGCGUAGAUAUCAGAAGGAAUACCGAUGGCGAAGGCAGGUCUCUGGGUCAAUACUGACGCUCAUGCACGAAAGCGUGGGGAGCAAACAGG